UACGUAGGGAGCGAGCGUUGUCCGGAAUUACUGGGCGUAAAGGGCGUGUAGGCGGGAAUUUAAGUAAGGUGUGAAAACUCCGGGCUCAACCUGGAGACUGCACUUUAAACUGGAUUUCUUGAGGGCAGGAGAGGAAAGUGGAAUUCCUAGUGUAGCGGUGAAAUGCGUAGAUAUUAGGAGGAACACCAGUGGCGAAGGCGACUUUCUGGACUGUACCUGACGCUGAGGCGCGAAAGCGUGGGUAGCGAACAGG
RNAcentral lists this ribosomal RNA (253 nucleotides) under uncultured bacterium. Its description in RNAcentral is "partial 16S ribosomal RNA". It matches the Rfam family "Bacterial small subunit ribosomal RNA", at positions 524 to 776 of the family's 1533-position model. The record is from RNAcentral.